This is a non-coding RNA of Zootoca vivipara (common lizard), 6381 nucleotides long. Lineage: Eukaryota; Metazoa; Chordata; Lepidosauria; Squamata; Lacertidae. The record is from RefSeq and is a predicted model, not a curated record.
UAAGGACUGGUCAGCAGAUUGGUCAGGUGUUUGGGUCCAGGGUGGAAUCACUUAUGUCAUGUGGUCAGCUUUCAUCUGAAACUCAUUGACUGAAGCUUGCCAUGUGGAUUGUUAGCUUGUUACAGAUCCUGUUGCCAAUUCACUCCCUUCGAGGCCCCAUUGCCUUGUGUCUUCAUUUCUGGGGUCUGGAGGGUAGGACCCAAACCAAUGGCUUCGAGUGACAAGUAAGGAGAGUCUGACUCAACACCAGGAAGAACUUUCUGACGGGCAACCUGUGACAGGCAGCAACAUCUCAUGCCUCAAUUUUCAAGUAUUCUUUGACCGAUGAGGAAUGAAACCAGGAUUCCGCCCAAGGCCUGAAACCGCCAAAGUUGUGACGUUUUGCUACGGGAAAGGCAAAACCUGCCAAUGCAGGAAAAAUUCAUUUCCGGCCCUUCAACAGUGAUCUUGACGUAGCAGUGCCUGCGUACCUGUGGAGAAGAGGUUAACCUGCAAAAGAAGAUUUAAUUGAGGGAGUGGAGGGUGGGAGAAGCUCUGGAGCCGACUGCCACUUCCCAGGCCUGGAAGAUAUCUCCAUUCAGACAUUCAUGACUAUCUGCAUUAAGAGGAGUACAAGUGCAGAGAAGGAAUACACAGAAGGAAUUCCAAAACCAAUGUCCCACGAGCUCCCCACUGCUUUGGUACACAGUGUUGUGUAAGCACAUUGUUUUGCACAGGGGAGGGACUGUAUUGCAGCCAAGGUUAUUUUCGUUAGACGUAUUUCUUCUUUUCUUCAUGCAUGGGAAAUGGUAGAAUAGAGAAUAGAAACAUUCCAGAGUAAUUAAAAUCUGAAAUGAAUUAUUCAAUUCAGUUAAAAAUGAAAGGAAUUAUUUAAAUGGUUAAGUGCAUUGUCUUAUAUUUCAGCGACACUGACUUUGCAUUUAAAUUUCAAAUAUUCGUUGAAUAGAGGCACUGUUACAAGCUUAUAAAUUAAAGUUCUCUUAAAAAAAUAUUAAUGCACUUUUCUAACUUUAUCCUUAAGAUGCCAUUGGGUAAAUAGAUGAGUAAAGAAUCUAUGAUACUGCCAAAAAAAGAAGAGUCAAGCAAAGAAAAAAGAAUUACAGUGGCUUGGAUUGCACACCCUGCUAAGCAACAACAUGAAAGUAUUGCGCUCUUGGAAAGGAGAUCACGAUGUUUUACUCCUCCACUGUCAUAUUGUUCCUUUGCUGUGCUGUUCUAAGCUGAACCAUGCUUUGGCUUAUUGGUUAGUCUGCAGAAAGCUGAAGUGCGAGUUUGAAUUUGGAUGACACACUAAGCCAAACCAUGGCUUAGCUCAGGCAUCCCCAAACUGCGGCCCUCCAGAUGUUUUGGCCUACAAAUCCCAUGAUCCCUAAGUAACAGGACCAGUGGUCAGGGAUGAUGGGAAUUGUAGUCCAAAACAUCUGGAGGGCCAAAGUUUGGGGAUGCCUGGCUUAGCUCAUUAUACCACAACAGCAAAAUGGCAGAGGAGGAGUGAAACAGCUGUGAUCUCCUCUCCUGAAGCUCGCAUGGUCCCAUUCACAGGAUAAGCCAUGGUUUGGCUGCCCGUUGACACAAUAUAGAGCAGUGCUUAUAGCUGUGUGUAGCUUGCAUGGCAAAUAAGGUAACACCCCCCUCAGUAUUGGUACAUCUUUUAAUUUUGAAAAAAGAAAAGUACAGAUUUAUUUAUUUGGGACCUUUCAUUCUUCAUACUUUAUAUGCAUCUUUUAAAUGGGGCAUUCUGUUUACCAGAUGAAUUGCCUGAUUAUUUUUUACUUUCAUGCUUAUUAGAAUAUAUUUAAGGGCAAGUGCCACAGUUUGUGGAUUCAGGUUCUGCAUGCUAUGUUCAUUGCCUCCAGUUAGAUGGAACCUGUGCGGAUAAGGGAACAGCUGGUCGGAGUACACAAUACAGGGCAAGAAGAACCAAUAGGAAAGAAUGUCGGGAAUGAUGGGAAUUGUAGCCCAAAGCAUCUGGAAAGCACCAAGUUGGGGAAAGGCUGUCUCUGUCCUGUUCUACCCUGUGAAACUAGAGCAACUAUAGCCUAAGAGUCAUUAUCUGUCAAUAGUUUUCAGCACUUUAUUUCCCUAUACUAGAAAUAUCAAGGAAAUUCUAAUUGGAUCAAUUUUACCCAACCUUCAUGAAAUCAUAGAAACAUUUCUCCAAAAGAAUCAGCGUUGGAAGGGACCCUGAGAAUCGUCUAGUCCAACCCACUGCAAUGCAGGAAUCUCAGCUAAGGCAUCUAUGACAGAUGGCCACCCAACCUCUGCUAAAAACACCUCCAAGGAAGGAGAGUCCACAACCUCCCGAGGGAGACCGUCCCACUGCGGAACAGCUCUUACGAUCAGAAUUUUUUUCCUGAUGUUUAGUCAGAAUCUCUUUUCUUGUAACUUGAAGCCAUUGGUUCGAGUCCUACGCUCAAACAAUUACAUUUGGGGGGGGUUAGGAGAAAAGAAAGAGGUUGUGAUAUUGUCACUGUUAAAGGUGAGCCCAGUCCCGAAAAAACUGAUGGAGAACUUCAUCUGUCCCUGGAAAAAGCUGUGGUGAAAUGGCUCUCCCUGUUUCUCUGCCUACAAAUAGGGUGGAGCAUUUUAAGAGGCUAUUUCUGCAGAGUUCUAUUCCACACAUUUGACAAGUUCACAACCUAAAUUUCAAAUAUGGUAACAAAAGGGAAGUGAAGGAAGUAGAAGGAGUGGGGAGGGGAAGGGUAACAAGGGUUGUAGAGGAACAAAUGCUGGAGAAGGAUUGCCUAUGGGAAUAAACCAAAAUCUUCAUCAAAUAUGUCUCUUUUGAGGGAGGAUAAUAUAGUCUUGCCUUUCCUUGAAAAAGGUGGGGCUCAGGCUCUGUGUGCAAAAAUCACCCAUCAGUCUAUGCAGCAUAUUACGUAUGUGUGUGUGGCAUCACACCACUGCUGUCGCAGUGAGAUCAAAGACGGGGAAAGCUUCCAAUCCUUCUCGCACCAUGGCACAAAGGCGUGAAACCUUUUCACCCUUCCUUGCCCUCACCAUCAAUGUUUUGGGUACUUGGGUCACAUAAAAUGUAGUCAUUUCUAAGGUGGCUAUUGCGGCAAAGUGAUUUUUUCUUGGCAGGGGCACCAAUGCAGUUCUUUGCCAAGGUACACCUUUGAUUCAAGAUGUAAAAAAAAAUGAGCUCAUUCCAGUUCACAUUGACCUCUUUACAAAAUGAACUAGUUCGGUAUGGAUUCAGUUCCCACUCCAUCCAAACGAUCCUUGGCAACUUUCCUCCCAGCAUUCAGAAAGUUACAGUGAGCUUUGUAGGAUUGGAGUUAUGAAAACAAUGCAUUGACCAGUUUUAAAGCUCUAAGAUGAGAUCCCUAAACCCAAAUUGCUUUUAGCUAAUAGAACAGAAGUUUUCACUGCCUGAUUUUUAAGCACAUAAAAAUGAAAACAGUAAUAUUUUAGUGAAGGGGUAAAAAAACUACAGCGAGUGGAAUCCAAACAUUCCUUUCCUCUGAUGAAUGGAGUCUUACCAUCAAAAGAAGACUCCUGUCAGAGAAAGGGAACCUCUGAAUCCAACCCUCUGUUUACACAGUUUGUGGGAGAACAGCUAUCUAAAGUUAAAACCUCUCAUUUAGAACUUCGUUUAAAAUGUUCUAUUUGUAAACAUCUACUUUUGCAGCCAACAAUUAAUCCAUAUAGAGGAGCACAUAAAUAACAGACAAUCAGCUUCCCGCUACAAUAGAAAGGCAAAUAUAUAUGUUCUAGACAAAACUAAAGACGUGAACAUCUAGGCUGUUUUCUGCAAGAACAAUAGAAAUAAGUAAGCAGCUAAUUCCUACCAAUGUUCGUAUUCAACUUCCAACUCCCCAAUUUGGAAAAGCAACCCCCCCCAUGUCUCUUUAUUCAAAAUUAUAAAAAUUGUAUUUCUUCAAAAAGCAUUGUUCAAGCAUCUGUUUCUCUUGCCUUGCACCUUCCAAAGAAAUAGCUGAAAGCCUAAAAUGAGAAGUAUUGCAUCACUUUUUUUCUAUUAAGAUGAGUGUGAUGCCCCUAAACAUAUGGAUUAGAUAUUAAAUCAUAUCCACAAGUAUGAGGAAAAUAUUAGUGUGGCAGAAAUUAGUAGAACAAUAUAGACAGGACACUAAUGUACUUAAUUAUAACUUUUUAUACGAAGGAACGAACUAUACAUGACACUAAAUGCAGUGCUGCCAAUCCCCGAUUAUUUAACAGUAAACAUAUGGAGAGGAGGCCGAUUUAAUCAGCACACAAGGAAAGGAGGUUCUAACCCUUCUUUUCCCAGGCUGUACUGCUAUUAGUCUGAAUAAAGAUCUCAUCGUUACUUACAAGUAAGAGCCACUCUUGGCUUUUGGGCAGAAGCCUGGCAAUUUUUACUGUUUGGUUUUUGGAAAAAUAUCACAUGAAAUAAGCUACCAACUUUCAAAUUCAUAAUUAAAUCCUUAUCAGAUAAAUAUUUUCAAAUACCAAAGAAAUACUAUUAACUUUCACCUGUUAAUUACAGCCAAAUUGCUUAGUGCAACUGCAUGUCUGCUGUAAAAUUCUACAUACCAUUGCAUGUCAAUUGUCACUGCACAGCAUCUGGUAAGUACUGUCAAAAACCAAAUGCUAUUCAUGCCAAAUAUCAAAUGCAUUUAAAUACUAAAUAACAAUUGUGUUUAAAUAAUCCAUUUACGUGGAUAAAACAUCAAGUUUAAUGUAAAUAAAUAUCAGGUGUCAAAAAGUGAUGUUAGACAACAAAUAUUUGCAUGAGGGGACUGCUCAAUAGCUUCCGGUGGGCGGCAUGUGGAAGCAGUAAUGGCCACUUACUGCCCUUUCAGGUGAGUGGCGGUUACAGCCCGACACAGCACCUCCUCUCCUUCCUGGCAUGCCACACCACCUUUCCCUGCCUCCCUGUCCCCCUCAGCUACUGUGGAGGCUCACGGGUUCCCGCCAAAACCCAUCUAUUCAAACGGGUCAAUCCGCGGCAGCCCAGGGGAGUGAGGCGGGGCAAGCAGACCUAAGGGAGGCAGGCUUCUCUCAGGUCUGCCCGCCAUCUAUUUAGCUCAGCCGACCCCCAAGCGCAGCACCCAGUUGGCUGGGAGCAUCAUCUAUGUAGGGCUAGUGGGCCAUAGAGCUUCUCUCAGCAUUUGGGGUCACCUGCAUAAACCUGCGUUUUGCAAUGGAUCCACCCCUGAAUAGACCCUGUCAUGCCUCAGUCCUCCAGCAGGGGGACUGAGCGGGAUACACGCCCAAUGCCUAUGCUAAGGCUUCGUACAUCUGAAAUCAAUGAAGUUGUGGCCAUUUCAAAUCCCAGACAGUUGUCACGUCCAUUCGUGCGCUGGGUUUGGGGGCUGUGCGGCUGGGCACACAAUUUGAAUUGGCUGCAAAUGCAUUAACUAUUUCCCUCCCUGAAUUUCAGUAACAAAUUGCACUAAAUGUAUCCGGUCUGUAUCCACAUAAUACAAGUCCCUGACCGUAACAACAAAUUAUGUGUAUGAAUUAUUUGGGCAAAACAUUUCACACUACUUAAACACCUCCACACACUCUUCUCCUACAUGCACAAUUUUGUUUUCUUUUAAUCGGCAGAUGUGAACAGAGGGCUGGUGGAACUCAACUUGCCUGUUUCAUUCCCCCUGCUGUUUCAUUUCCCCUCCUAGUAAGACAUACUACCCCCUAAGUCAGCAAUUCUGCUGUGUACAAGGGUGCUAUAAUGUACACAGAGUGCUAAGCAUAACCAAGAGCUAUUUCAUUAGCUUCAGUGUUAGGGACAAGGCCACAGGAGCAAUUCCCAAGUCUAUUUCAGUUUUUUAAAGUUCUCUCCUCUUGCUAUUUUGCAGCCAGUUAUAAUGUUAUGCUUAAGGCAACUGAAAGAACCUCCCAUUGGUUCCCAUGAGUUUUCAGUUCCGGCUUUUCAGAGCUUCUCUCAUGCUUUGACUUGUCACAACAAUAUUUUAAAUUAAUAUUUUAAAAGGUGUUGGAUAUCUGUUUCAGAAAUAGCCAAAGUUGCUGGGAGGGAAGUCCAUAUACAUGGAAGAGCAAGCUUUGCCAGUAGCUUCGCUAUAAGCGACACUGAUGAAAUCAGGCAGCUGUAGCCAUCAGCUCUGGUAUACUUUUACUUCUGGGAUUAUGCUUUCCAAGUCAUGGGAGCAUUCCUGCAAUUUGCUCUAAAACUAUAACAUGUAAAUCCAUGUCUGGAUGUUACAAUAAACCAUAGUUUACCACCCUGAUCUUCCGCAUUCCAGGGGAUCAUGUCCUCCCCUUCUCUCUCCUCUUCUAAUAUAGCCAUGGGGAUGUUCUUUUGAGAUUUAUCACAACUUGCCAUAUCAACUGAACCACGAAACCUUAUACCCAGAACAAACUUAGCUGGUCUUUAAGGUGCUACUGGACAAUAUUUUUUUAAAAAAAUAUUUAUUUUGAUUCCUUCAGACCAAC